This is an RNA transcript of Zea mays, 2183 nucleotides long. RefSeq lists it as uncharacterized. NCBI's taxonomy places the organism in Eukaryota, Viridiplantae, Streptophyta, Magnoliopsida, Poales, Poaceae. The record is from RefSeq and is marked validated. The transcript has 17 exons.
GGGAACUAGUGGCCCCGUGGUCAAAGAAACAACUUUCACCGUUACCUUCCCAGUUCCGUUCCCUCCCAAACCCUAACUCCCGAAUCCCCUCGCUCUCCUCUAAUGGCCGCCGAUGCCGACGCAGCCGAGGUGGAGCGGCUUUACGAGCUCGGCGAGCGCCUCUCUUCCGCCAAGGACAAGUCCGAGCUUGCGGCGGACUACGAGGCGAUUAUUGCAGCAGUGAAGGGGCAGAGUGUCAAGGCGAAGCAGCUCGCAGCGCAGCUCAUCCCGAGGUUCUUCCGGAGCUUCCCUGCACUCGCCACCCGCGCCAUGUCGGCCAUGUUCGACCUCGUUGAUAUGGAGGAGCUCGCGAUCAGAAUACAAGCUAUUCGGGGUUUUCCACUUCUUGGUAAAGAUACUGAAUUUGUGUCAAAAAUUGCAGAUGUUUUGGGACAACUCCUUACAAGCGAGGAAAAUGUGGAACGUGAUGCUGUUCAUAAAGCACUCAUGUCCCUUAUACGAGAAGAUGUUAAAAAUUCUUUACAACCUUUAUUUAAGCAUGUGGAGCAAGGAUCAGAGAUUCGUGAGAAGAUUAUUUGUUUUCUUCGAGACAAGGUUUUUCCUCUUAAAGCAGAGCUACUGAAACCUCAAGCAGAAAUGGAGAGAUUUAUAACGGAUUUGGUAAAGAAAAGUGUGCAAGAUGUAACUGGUUCAGAAUUUGAACUAUUCAUGGGGUUUCUGCGAAGCUUGAGCAUAUUUGGGGAUUCUGCUCCUAGAGAGUCCUUUCAAGAACUAAUUGAAAUUAUUCAAGCACAGGCUGAUCUCAACUCACAAUUCAAUGUUUCGGACAUUGACCACAUUGAAAGGUGGAUUUCAUGCAUGUAUAUGGCUCUUCCUAUCUUCAUGAGAGGAGCAUCAGCAAGCAAGUUCCUCAAUUACUUCGUUAAGCAAAUUGUUCCAGCAUUCGAGAAGAUUCCUGAAGAAAAGAAACUGGAUUUGCUCAAGACUAUUGCUUCAAGUUCACCGUACGCGACAGCUCAAGAUUCACGUCAGCUGCUUCCAUCUGUUGUUCAGUUACUCAACAAAUAUAUGCCUGGGAAGAAGGUGGACGAUAUCAACCAUAAUUAUGUUGAAUGCUUGCUGUACACUUAUCAUCAUUUGGCUCAUAAGACUCCAAACACAACGAACAGUCUAUGUGGUUACAAGAUUGUUACUGGGCAACCAUCGGAUAGACUUGGAGAGGACUUCACAGAGCAUUACAAAGAUUUUACAGAGAGGUUAACUGGAACAGAAGAGACGGUAAGAGCAGCCUCAAAGCGACUAACUCAGGGAAUGGCAGAUUUCAGCAAGGCAAUAUCUUCAGCAAAAACCGAAGAGGAAAAAACUAAAAUUAAAGGCGAUCAACAAACUUCAACAAGGACAAUGAGGUCAUAUAACAAUAUAUUGGCAAUGGCACAGGGCAAGGCGAGGCCGGCGCCCAGAAGAAUCCGGCUCAUGAACGCCUAGGCGACGCCUUUUAAACCAUGCCAUUGCAUUCAAAAUCCCCUUUAUUUAUCGGUGAUAAGAAAAUCGCUCUAUCAUGGAUGGAGCAUCCCAAGAAACCAACAGCUACGACAGCAGGGGGGAAGAGGUCACAACCUGCUACUACAAAUGGGAAUGGCCCUGCAAACAAGAAAGGGAGAGGAGGAAUGCACAACCAGCUUGUGAACAGAGCUUUUGAAGGACUGUCUCGUGGUGGUAGAGGCACUGGAAGGGGGCGUGGCAGGGGUGGCCGAGGACGAAGAGGGUGGGGUGGCUACCGCUGAGAUGACCUGGAAACUCUGUUCAAACCUGACAUGGGAUGAGCUUUCUGCUUCCACUUGAGAGUAAAUGCAAAGGUCGAUAUUUAUUUGUGUGCCUCAGCGCAACAAGUUUAAAUUGGAAGGCACACAACAGCAGAAUGCGUACAGAAAGAGUAAAAAAGAAUGCUUGAGAAAUGUCCGCAAGAUCUGUGCAUCUUUCCUAUUCAUUUGCCAUCAAGCCGUGUUCUUUGCCACCCUCCGUCGCUUCACCUGAGUUGGCUGUUUGAUGAAAUGUUGGCAAGAUCUGUGCAUCAUCUUUCAUAUUCACUUACCAUCUCACCGUGUUCUUUGAACCCUAACAGUCGUUUCACCUGUGUUGGCUGUUAGAACUCAACAGUAAGAUAUCGUUCAUUUAUUUUAUUU